GGGGCAUUGUAGUGGCCUGAUUGAAGGAGAUAGGCAAUGCCACUUUUGAGUAUUAUGAUAGUCAAGUGGCUUUUGAUCUAUUUACCUUUAUGCCUAGUUCUACUCAUUGCUUGGCGUGGUCUAUGCUAGUAUUUGUCUUCAUGAGCAUAAGUCCUUAUGGGAAUAAUUUAUCUUGACUUUAUCUUUGGGUGUUCCAACUAUUUAUAUAGGAGAUUUUAAUUAUAUUCUAUCACCCGAUAAAGCUAGGGAUAGACCUUUUAAAGCUAAUAGAGAAGUUUGUGAAUUCCGAUCCUUUCUUCGCCAAGCAAGGCUGAUGGACU
Molecule: long non-coding RNA, 320 nt
Filed under: Elaeis guineensis (African oil palm)
Lineage: Eukaryota; Viridiplantae; Streptophyta; Magnoliopsida; Arecales; Arecaceae
Description: long non-coding RNA (EGUI_LNC002921)
Source: RNAcentral